Molecule: long non-coding RNA, 311 nt
Filed under: Triticum aestivum (bread wheat)
Lineage: Eukaryota; Viridiplantae; Streptophyta; Magnoliopsida; Poales; Poaceae
Description: long non-coding RNA (TAES_LNC015933)
Source: RNAcentral
AAGGUGAAGAUGAUCCACAUAGAGUUACAAUGUCAUAUAGGUCAGAACAAGAAGAUGAUCCCAAUAAAGCUACAAUGACAUAUAGGUCAGAACAAGAAGAAGAUCCACAUAAAGUUACACUGUCAUAUGGGUCAGAACAAGAAGAUGAUCCCAAUAAAGCUACAAUGACAUAUAGGUCAGAACAAGAUGAAGAAGAUCCACAUAAAGUUACAAUGUCAUAUGGGCUGGAACAAGAAGAUGAUCCCAAUAAAGCUACAAUGACAUAUAGGUCAGAACAACAAGAAGAAGAUCCACAUAAAGUUACAAUGUCA